AGCAGAAUAAGAAAAAAAUGCACCAUUUUAGCCAAACCUGACAUUAACCAUAUGCCAAGCCUCUUGAUGAGACCCACAUACAUAUGAUUCUACAUCUUGCAAAGCUCACUAGGUGGACUUCAUGAACUUUAUUCACUGGAAAGCUCUGAUGCUCCAUGGAACAUGCAUGAUAGACAUAAGUCACCUCAAAAGUAUCCAACCAUGAUUCCAAAUCAGUUCCUGCUGUAAGAGAUUUCUAAUUUUGAUUUGAACUAGUCUCCAGAGCAGAAGGAUAUGUCACUGAAGCAGGUAUAGUCAAUACUCUGACACUCAUAUAAAAGCUCAAAAUCAACAAAAAUUGGCUAAAGGCUCUAAUGCAAAAGUAAGCAUCAGUGCUGUGUUUACUUAUUUGGGUUCUGUUUUCACUAAGAUUUUGGCCUCAGACAAGUCUUUUUAUCCAUGUUGAGCAAUAAAUGUACUUUAAAGAAUGCUUAGUCAAGUCAAAUUGUCCCUGUUUGCAGAUGACAUGAUUGUAUAUCUAGAAAACCCCAUUGUCUC
RNAcentral lists this long non-coding RNA (537 nucleotides) under Homo sapiens (human). Its description in RNAcentral is "HSALNT0031575". The record is from RNAcentral. Lineage: Eukaryota; Metazoa; Chordata; Mammalia; Primates; Hominidae.